Molecule: small RNA, 956 nt
Filed under: Histoplasma capsulatum var. duboisii H88
Lineage: Eukaryota; Fungi; Ascomycota; Eurotiomycetes; Onygenales; Ajellomycetaceae
Description: Histoplasma capsulatum H88 hypothetical RNA
Source: RNAcentral
UGCUUACGAAGCAGUUCUUGAAAAGACUGGCAUUCUGGGCACGAAGAUUGACUUGAUUCUGGCAAUCAUCCGGAUCGGGCUGUUCUUUGGGGAUAAGGUGUUUGUCAAAAAGCAGAUUGAGAGAGCAGGCGCAUUGGUCGAGAGUGGCGGGGACUGGGACCGAAGAAAUCGUCUAAAGGCCUACAAGGGACUCCACCUCCUCACCAUCCGCUCAUAUAACCUGGCCGCAACGCUUCUCCUCGACAGCUUGUCUACGUUCACCAGCUACGAAUUAUGCAGUUACUCGUCUCUUGUUGUCUACUCCGUCCUGGCGGGCUCCCUUGCCUUGAAGCGCGUGGAUUUUAAAGCAAAAGUCGUCGAUGCGCCUGAAAUCAAGGCCAUCCUCGGAGAAGGAGAAGACAACAUACCCGCCUUAAGUCGCUCAGGUUCCUCGGGCCCCGAUGCUGGAGAUGAAGAGAUGAAAGAUGCCACGGCAACCACAACUCCAGGGGUUGCGUCGACGGUUGUAAAUCUUACCACCCUCGGCGCUGAAAGUGGAUUUGUGCCAGAGGAAGAGAUCCCAAUGGACUUCUCCCCACUCUCCAACCUUGUCAGCAGCUUGUACAAUGGCAUAUACCGCUCGUUCUUCCUGGCGCUAGCGGCCGUUGAGGAUAAUUUCCUGAGUAAAGACCGCUACCUCCAUGAACACCGGGCGUGGUUUGUGCGCGAGAUGCGGCUACGCGGAUACCAGCAACUGCUACAAAGUUAUCGUGUUGUCGGUCUGAGUAGCAUGGCGAACGAUUUUGGCGUCACCGUUGAUUUCCUUGAUAAGGAUCUUGCCAAAUUCAUCGCCGGCGACAGAAUAGCAUGCACGAUUGACCGUGUCAACGGCAUCAUUGAGACGAACCGGCCCGACGACAAGAAUAAGCAGUAUGCAGAUGUAGUGAAGCAAGGAGAUGCGUUGAUCACGAAGCUAC